RNAcentral lists this unclassified non-coding RNA (788 nucleotides) under Zea mays. Its description in RNAcentral is "misc RNA Zm00001eb210310". The record is from RNAcentral. Lineage: Eukaryota; Viridiplantae; Streptophyta; Magnoliopsida; Poales; Poaceae.
CCCAUCCGUCAUCCACUCAUUCCAAAAUACAGCAUAACCCUAGCAGCGACUCGUUCCUCCAAAUCAACCGGAUGAGCUCACUCCGGUUCGUACCUCGCACAGGGGCGGCGGCAAGGCAGCUCUGAGGGGAUCUCGGCGGCGACGACGCGGCGACAGCGACCGCCGGGCUCGAGGAUUCGCACGGAGUGAACAAGGCUGAGCGUCGCCUCAUUCCGACUUCCGAUCCCCAACGGAAAGCGGAGCCAGGACCGGGAGCUGGAGCAGUUGUCUUCCCCCCUCGUCUCCGUCAACUGGUCUUUAAUUCUCUCUUUACACAUAUCUUGGUAUUUAAUUCUCUCAUCACCAGCGUAAGAAAAAACCAUUUGAAGCUAAAUUUUUCAACAAGCCACUUGAGAACUACCAUUACAUGGCUGUUAUAUUUGGGAAUCAUCAAGCAACUGGACUAUUUGCAAAAUGCACCAGUGAUCCCCUAGGUUUCGACACAUCUGAAAGUGCAGGUACAUAUGGUGUGGGUUAUUCUGGAGACUUGGCUGGUCAUGAGAGUAACAAUGCAAGUCCAACUCGUGAUAGUGGAGAAUCAUUGAACCCAAGUGGUCCAAUUCGUGAUGGUGGAGACUCAUCUACUCGAAGUGGUGCAAGAAGGAAGAGAGGGCGCAUGAUGAUGGAAGAUGAGGAUCCAUUGAUAUGCACUGUCACUGAAGCUUUUAAGACUCUUUCAGAUGCAAUCAAGCAGUCAGCACCACAACCACGUCCGAUAAUCCCACCCAACCUAUGGACUAUGAUGAAAC